Molecule: ribosomal RNA, 506 nt
Filed under: uncultured bacterium
Lineage: Bacteria
Description: partial 16S ribosomal RNA
Source: RNAcentral
GGAGUUAGCCGGUGCUUCUUCUGUGAGUGAUGUCCUUCCUGCCGGCUAUUAACCCGCAGGCCUUCUUCCUCACUGAAAGUGCUUUACAACCCGAAGGCCUUCUUCACACACGCGGCAUGGCUGGAUCAGGGUUGCCCCCAUUGUCCAAUAUUCCCCACUGCUGCCUCCCGUAGGAGUCUGGGCCGUGUCUCAGUCCCAGUGUGGCUGAUCAUCCUCUCAGACCAGCUACGGAUCGUCGCCUUGGUGAGCCGUUACCUCACCAACCAGCUAAUCCGACAUAGGCUCAUCCGAUAGCGCGAGGCCCGAAGGUCCCCCGCUUUCCCCCGUAGGGCGUAUGCGGUAUUAGCCUGGGUUUCCCCAGGUUAUCCCCCACUACCGGGCAGGAUUCCUAUGCAUUACUCACCCGUCCGCCGCUCGCCACCAGGAGCAAGCUCCCCGUGCUGCCGCUCGACUUGCAUGUGUUAGGCCUGCCGCCAGCGUUCAAUCUGACCAAGAUCAAAUUCUGA